AAUUCUCUCAACCACACAAAUGUGUUGUGGCUUGGAUAUGGAGGGUGCAGGCUUGAAGUUCAAGUCGAGCUCCUCUAAAAUACAUAAGUAGUGGUCAGAGAAACUACAGAUGUGAUAAAUUAUCUACAUCUUAGUGUAUGGUAUUACGCUGCUUUCAAACACCUCCAUCUCUUUGACGU
RNAcentral lists this unclassified non-coding RNA (179 nucleotides) under uncultured Agaricales. RNAcentral's name for it is "sequence contains ITS2". Lineage: Eukaryota; Fungi; Basidiomycota; Agaricomycetes; Agaricales. The record is from RNAcentral.